This 424-nucleotide ribosomal RNA is filed under the name uncultured bacterium. Its description in RNAcentral is "bacterial SSU rRNA". It matches the Rfam family "Bacterial small subunit ribosomal RNA", at positions 355 to 796 of the family's 1533-position model. The record is from RNAcentral.
UAACGAAUCUUCCGCAAUGGGCGCAAGCCUGACGGAGCGACGCCGCGUGUGGGACGAAGUCCUUCGGGAUGUAAACCACUGUCAGGGGUUAGAAAGUUCUGAUCAACCCCAGAGGAAGGCACGGCUAACUCUGUGCCAGCAGCCGCGGUAAGACAGAGGUGCCAAGCGUUAGGCGGAAUCACUGGGCUUAAAGCGUGUGUAGGUGGAUGCCUAAGUGCCUUGUGAAAUCCCACGGCUCAACCGUGGAAUUGCUGGGCAUACUGGGUGUCUUGAGCCAUCCAGGGGUCGCUGGAACAAACGGUGGAGCGGUGAAAUGCGUAGAUAUCGUUUGGAACGCCAAUGGUGAAAACAGGCGACUGGGGAUGUGCUGACACUGAGACACGAAAGCCAGGGGAGCAAACGGGAUUAGAUACCCCCGUAGUCC